AUCCUGGCUCAGGACGAACGCUGGCGGCGUGCCUAAUACAUGCAAGUCGAGCGGACAGAAGGGAGCUUGCUCCCGGAUGUUAGCGGCGGACGGGUGAGUAACACGUGGGUAACCUGCCUGUAAGACUGGGAUAACUCCGGGAAACCGGAGCUAAUACCGGAUAGUUCCUUGAACCGCAUGGUUCAAGGAUGAAAGACGGUUUCGGCUGUCACUUACAGAUGGACCCGCGGCGCAUUAGCUAGUUGGUGGGGUAAUGGCUCACCAAGGCGACGAUGCGUAGCCGACCUGAGAGGGUGAUCGGCCACACUGGGACUGAGACACGGCCCAGACUCCUACGGGAGGCAGCAGUAGGGAAUCUUCCGCAAUGGACGAAAGUCUGACGGAGCAACGCCGCGUGAGUGAUGAAGGUUUUCGGAUCGUAAAGCUCUGUUGUUAGGGAAGAACAAGUGCGAGAGUAACUGCUCGCAACU
This 470-nucleotide ribosomal RNA is filed under the name Bacillus australimaris. RNAcentral describes it as "bacterial SSU rRNA". It matches the Rfam family "Bacterial small subunit ribosomal RNA", at positions 16 to 474 of the family's 1533-position model. The record is from RNAcentral. Lineage: Bacteria; Bacillati; Bacillota; Bacilli; Caryophanales; Bacillaceae.